This 511-nucleotide ribosomal RNA is filed under the name uncultured prokaryote. RNAcentral's name for it is "partial 16S ribosomal RNA". It matches the Rfam family "Bacterial small subunit ribosomal RNA", at positions 28 to 556 of the family's 1533-position model. The record is from RNAcentral.
GAUGAACGCUGACAGAAUGCUUAACACAUGCAAGUCGAUUCAAGUUACCUUCGGGUAAUGAGGAUGGCGGACGGGUGAGUAACGCGUAAGGAACUUGCCUCUUGGUCUGGGACAACUGUUGGAAACGACAGCUAAUACCGGAUAUUAUGAGAUUCUCACAUGGGAAACUUAUGAAAGCUAUAUGCGCCAAGAGAGAGCCUUGCGUUCCAUUAGCUAGUUGGUGGGGUAACGGCCCACCAAGGCGACGAUGGAUAGCCGGCCUGAGAGGGUGAACGGCCACAAGGGGACUGAGACACGGCCCUUACUCCUACGGGAGGCAGCAGUGGGGANNAUUGGANNNNGGGNNNNAAGCCUGAUCCAGCAAUUCUGUGUGCACGAUGAAGGUCUUCGGAUUGUAAAGUGCUUUCAGUUGGGAANAAGAAAGUGACGGUACCAACAGAANNAGCGACGGCUAAAUACGUGCCAGCAGCCGCNGUAAUACGUAUGUCGCAAGCGUUAUCCGGAUUUAUUG